This is a long non-coding RNA of Pollicipes pollicipes, 548 nucleotides long. RefSeq lists it as uncharacterized. The transcript has 4 exons. The record is from RefSeq and is a predicted model, not a curated record. Lineage: Eukaryota; Metazoa; Arthropoda; Thecostraca; Pollicipedomorpha; Pollicipedidae.
CUUUAAUGGUGGAGGGGGAAGAAAAGGAAAUCUUCACAAGGCCAUGGUUGCUACCCAAAUAAUGGCAAAGGAAAAGGCAAACAAGACAAGAAGCAGGGCAAAUGCCGUAGGAAAGCUAAACACAGUUGUCCCAGCCAAUCAUCAGCAAAGUCUCACAUGCCCACUUUUGGGUCAGAACAUGGAGCAGAGCCGGAUAACUCCGAAGAUCCGGAUAGACCGAAGGAAGACCGACCGACCGGAUUGAUCGAAGAUGUGGGCAUAGCGCGAAGAGACGGAGGCCAAACGUUGGGAGGAAGUCAGGAGGGGGCUAUUUGAUGAUGCCGUAGCUGCUCGUGCUGUGCCGAGUCCGGGUGAGGAUUGACUUGCUCGCUUUGCGAGAGUCUUGCGAGUGUAAGCUGCGGGAACUGCCCGGGGGGCGGCACUGUGCCACCAUUGUGAUGUUGAAGAGCACACCAUGCAGCCAUUUCACGCCAGGCGGCAGUGGGCGUCUGGGUUUAUGCAGACUUUGGCUGCAGGUACUUCUGUUACAUCAGCGGGAGGGUUCAUCC